Cinara cedri is the source of this 77-nucleotide non-coding RNA. The record is from the annotation of a GenBank genome assembly. Lineage: Eukaryota; Metazoa; Arthropoda; Insecta; Hemiptera; Aphididae.
AUGGCUAUCGGCGACUACCCUGCCGAAUAUAAUCCCAAAGUACAUGGACCGUACGAUCCAGCACGUUUUUAUGGAAC